UACAGAGGUCCCAAGCGUUGUUCGGAUUCAUUGGGCGUAAAGGGUGCGUAGGCGGCGCGGUAAGUCGGGUGUGAAAUCUCGGAGCUUAACUCCGAAACUGCAUUCGAUACUGCCGUGCUUGAGGACUGGAGAGGGGACUGGAAUUUACGGUGUAGCGGUGAAAUGCGUAGAUAUCGUAAGGAAGACCAGUGGCGAAGGCGGGUCUCUGGGCAGUAACUGACGCUGAGGAGCGAAAGCGUGGGGAGCGAACAGG
RNAcentral lists this ribosomal RNA (253 nucleotides) under uncultured bacterium. RNAcentral describes it as "partial 16S ribosomal RNA". It matches the Rfam family "Bacterial small subunit ribosomal RNA", at positions 524 to 776 of the family's 1533-position model. The record is from RNAcentral.